CCUACGGGGGACAGCAGUGAGGAAUAUUGGUCAAUGGCCGAGAGGCUGAACCAGCCAAGUCGCGUGAGGGAAGACGGCCCUACGGGUUGUAAACCUCUUUUGUCGGGGAGCAAAGCGAACCACGUGUGGUUCAUUGAGAGUACCCGAAGAAAAAGCAUCGGCUAACUCCGUGCCAGCAGCCGCGGUAAUACGGAGGAUGCGAGCGUUAUCCGGAUUUAUUGGGUUUAAAGGGUGCGCAGGCGGAUUUUUAAGUCAGCGGUCAAAUCGUGGGGCUCAACCCCAUCCAGCCGUUGAAACUGGGGAUCUAGAGUGUGCGAGAGGUAUGCGGAAUGCGUGGUGUAGCGGUGAAAUGCAUAGAUAUCACGCAGAACCCCGAUUGCGAAGGCAGCAUACCGGUGCACAACUGACGCUCAGGCACGAAAGCGUGGGUAUCGAACAGGAUUAGAUACCCGGGUAGUC
Molecule: ribosomal RNA, 459 nt
Filed under: uncultured bacterium
Lineage: Bacteria
Description: partial 16S ribosomal RNA
Rfam family: Bacterial small subunit ribosomal RNA
Source: RNAcentral